RNAcentral lists this non-coding RNA (45 nucleotides) under Schistosoma margrebowiei. The record is from RNAcentral. Lineage: Eukaryota; Metazoa; Platyhelminthes; Trematoda; Strigeidida; Schistosomatidae.
ACUCAGCUGAUGAGUCCCAAAUAGGACGAAACCCUCGUCUUGAUU